This 327-nucleotide ribosomal RNA is filed under the name Triticum aestivum (bread wheat). RNAcentral describes it as "partial small subunit ribosomal RNA". Lineage: Eukaryota; Viridiplantae; Streptophyta; Magnoliopsida; Poales; Poaceae. The record is from RNAcentral.
AUGGCCUGUCUGAGGCAUAAUUUUCCACUUUCCUCUGUCCAUGGAGGCAUGCACCUCCAGGACAACAAUGUCCUAGCGUCUGUUGAUGCUGUCAGAACCAUCGACAAGGAUGCUGUAGAGUCUGCGAUGACCACUCCCAAGCUACGACAUACAGAAUAUGGUCGUCAAUAUUGCAUCUUUGUACCUCUGGAUUACCGAAAUGAAGAACAGAAGUGGAAACUAAACCAGCACUCGAGGACUGCAGGAUCACCGCUCGUGAAAGCCUGCAAUUCAAGUGUUCCUUAUACUACAACUGUAUGUAUACAUUUAUUUAUUUUCUACAAUUAA